GAAAUCCUAUUCUGCUCUGCCUUCUUACCUUCUGUGGAGAUGAGAACCCAGACUGAGGGGAACUCACUGAAGCAGGUACAUGGGCCUCAGGUAGAGCCAGCAGAGUCCUGGACAAUAGCCACAGUCAAUACCCACAAACCCACAAGAGAAGCCACCUUCAGUUCUCUUGCCAGGCCAGGAUGCAGCCGGGCAAACGGGAAGGAGUUGCAAUCCUGCCUCCCGAAGGGUCACUGAGUGGCUUCUCAGGCAGUCUGAAUACCUACCUGCUUUCUUUCAGUCUGAUGCCCAAAAGGGCUGGUUCUAGGCCCUGGAGAUGGGUUAAUCUGUGGUCACGGGGGAAGUACAGAGGAAGAAUUGAUGUCCUCCCCUGGGCCCUGGACACCUGGGUUCCAUCCCUGUUGUGCCAUAAGGCCAGGUUCCCUCUUGCUCAUGAUUUGCAUCUCCAUUUGACAUGGAGAAGGGUCCUCACCCCUUAGGAGUCCCAUGGUUGACUCAGUACCAGAUCCUCUGCUGACUCACCCCACCCCCCCUUGCACACACACACACACCCCUCCCAGCUCCCUGCAGCUCCAAGGCACGUGCCACUAGGCUCAAGCCUGAGGAGCUAGCAAGUGCAAUGUGACAGAGUGAGGGGGCUGGUGACACUUGAAGAGGAAAGGAGGGGGCGGGGAGGGGCAGUUACAGACAGACAGACUUGCAAACUGAGGCACCUCUGGGAGGAAGCCCUUUUGCCAGCCUGGGGCCUGCAGGGG
RNAcentral lists this long non-coding RNA (752 nucleotides) under Rattus norvegicus (Norway rat). RNAcentral describes it as "long non-coding RNA NONRATT019592". The record is from RNAcentral. Lineage: Eukaryota; Metazoa; Chordata; Mammalia; Rodentia; Muridae.